UUUAAGGUAUUCCUUCAUCAGCUUAGCCCCAAGCUUUAUGUCUAAUUCACCAACCUCAUCCAAAGCAUUCUUUAACUCCCUCUUAGCCGCCGAUAUCUCUUCCCGCAUCUAUAACAGGGCCUCAUCCUUGUUCCGAAUAAUUUCGACCUUAUCUUCCAAUUGCCAAGCAUGUUCCUUUAAUUGCUCAUCUUUGUAUUGCAAUAACUUGGCAUGCUCUUCUCCCUUUUUCCCCUGCAACUCCACCUUACUCUCACUAGUAGAAAAAAGUAAAAAGGCACCCCCUAAUUACCACCGGUUCAGUCUAAACCGGUGGCAAAAAUAAGAUAAAAAAUGGGCGGGUAAAUGAACUAGUUAUAAUGGCACCGGUUCACUUCAAACCGGUGGCAAAAACACAAAGCCCACCGGUUUAAAGUGAACCGGUGCCUUUAUUAUUACAAAAAAAAAAAAAAUCGCCCAUAUAAAACCCCCAACCCUAUUUCUCAUUCUCAAUAGCCGCUUCUAUCUUCUCCUAUUUCCUUCUCUUUCUCUCUCCUCUUCUCCUCUCCUCCUCUUUCCUUCUUGCUCACCAGUCUUUCUCAUCUCCUCCUUCUCCCUCAAGACUACCACGUCUCCUUCUCCUUCUCCUUCAAGCCCACCACAAAGACCACCACGAACACCACUACGGAGACCACCACGAGCACAUGCAACACCACGAACACGUAUCUUGAGUUAGAUUGUAAAUGAAAGAAUCAAGAUGCAAGAAUAUUGAGUUUAUUUUUUUUAUUUAUAUUGUAAUUUUUUUUAUAUGUUGUAAUUGAACUACUGUAUUAAUCUAUAUUGUAAA
Molecule: long non-coding RNA, 823 nt
Organism: Chenopodium quinoa (quinoa)
Lineage: Eukaryota; Viridiplantae; Streptophyta; Magnoliopsida; Caryophyllales; Amaranthaceae
Exons: 2
Source: RefSeq, a predicted model, not a curated record